GAUGAACGCUGGCGGUAUGCUUAACACAUGCAAGUCGAACGGCCACUGCGGCGUUAGUGUCGGACGGGGUAGUAACCCGUUAGAAUCUGCCUUCAGGCCGGGGACAACGGGUAGAAAUGCCUGCCAAUACCGGGUGUACUUUCGGGUGAAAGCUUUAUUGCAUGAAAAAGAGCUCGCGUCAGAUUAGCUCUUAGGUGGUGUAAGAGACUACCUAGGCACCGAUCUGUAGAUGGUCUGAGAGGACGAUCAGCCACACUGGAACUUAGACACGGUCCAGAAUCCUGCGGGAGGGAGGCGUGCGGGAUUUUGCGCAAUGGGCGAAGGCCUGACGGAGCAAGACCGCGAGAGCGACGAAGGCGUUGGGGUAGUAAACCACUUUACUCAAGGAGGAUGAUGACGGUACUUGAAGAAGAAGCAUCGGCUAACUCCGUG
This 432-nucleotide ribosomal RNA is filed under the name uncultured bacterium. RNAcentral describes it as "partial 16S ribosomal RNA". It matches the Rfam family "Bacterial small subunit ribosomal RNA", at positions 28 to 507 of the family's 1533-position model. The record is from RNAcentral.